This 429-nucleotide ribosomal RNA is filed under the name bacterium. Its description in RNAcentral is "partial 16S ribosomal RNA". It matches the Rfam family "Bacterial small subunit ribosomal RNA", at positions 355 to 776 of the family's 1533-position model. The record is from RNAcentral.
UAGGGAAUCUUCCACAAUGGACGCAAGUCUGACGGUGCAACGCCGCGUGAGUGAAGAAGGUUUUCGGAUCGUAAAGCUCUGUUGUUGGUGAAGAAGGAUAGAGGCAGUAACUGGUCUUUAUUUGACGGUAAUCAACCAGAAAGUCACGGCUAACUACGUGCCAGCAGCCGCGGUAAUACGUAGGUGGCAAGCGUUGUCCGGAUUUAUUGGGUGUAAAGCGAGCGCAGGCGGAAUGAUAAGUCUGAUGUGAAAGCCCACGGCUCAACCGUGGAACUGCAUCGGAAACUGGCAUUCUUGAGUGCAGAAGAGGAGAGUGGAAUUCCAUGUGUAGCGGUGGAAUGCGUAGAGAUAUGGAAGAACACCAGUGGCGAAGGCGGCUCUCUGGUCUGCAACUGACGCUGAGGCUCGAAAGCAUGGGUAGCGAACAGG